Molecule: ribosomal RNA, 586 nt
Filed under: uncultured bacterium
Lineage: Bacteria
Description: bacterial SSU rRNA
Rfam family: Bacterial small subunit ribosomal RNA
Source: RNAcentral
CCUACGGGAGGCAGCAGUCGGGAAUUUUGGGCAAUGGGCGAAAGCCUGACCCAGCAACGCCGCGUGAAGGAUGAAAUCCCUCGGGAUGUAAACUUCGCAAGAACGGGAAGAAUAAGCGAGAGUUAAUAUCUUUCGUGAUGACGGUACCGUUUGUAAGCUCCGGCUAACUCCGUGCCAGCAGCCGCGGUAAUACGGGGGGAGCAAGCGUUGUUCGGAUUUACUGGGCGUAAAGGGCGCGUAGGCGGCCAGCACAAGUCAGUUGUGAAAUCUCCGAGCUUAACUCGGAAAGGUCAACUGAUACUGUGCGGCUAGAGUGCGGAAGGGGCAACUGGAAUUCUUGGUGUAGCGGUGAAAUGCGUAGAUAUCAAGAGGAACACCUGCGGCGAAGGCGGGUUGCUGGGCCGACACUGACGCUGAGGCGCGAAAGCCAGGGGAGCGAACGGGAUUAGAUACCCCGGUAGUCCUGGCCUUAAACGAUGAAUGCUUGGUGUCUGGGGUUAUAUAGUCCCCGGGUGCCGUCGCUAACGCUUUAAGCAUUCCGCCUGGGGAGUACGGUCGCAAGACUGAAACUCAAAGGAAUUGACGG